This 1021-nucleotide small RNA is filed under the name Pan troglodytes (chimpanzee). RNAcentral describes it as "retained intron". The record is from RNAcentral. Lineage: Eukaryota; Metazoa; Chordata; Mammalia; Primates; Hominidae.
GCGGAUCCUCACACGACUGUAAUCCGAUUCUUUCCAGCGGCUUCUGCAACCAAGCGGGUCUUACCCCCGGUCCUCCGCAUCUCCAGUCCUCGCACCUGGAACCCCAAAGUCUCCGAGAGUCCCCGAAUCCCCGCUCCCAGGCUACCUAAGAGGAUGAGCGGUGCUCCGACGGCCGGGGCAGCCCUGAUGCUCUGCGCCGCCACCGCCGUGCUACUGAGCGCUCAGGGCGGCCCCGUGCAGUCCAAGUCGCCGCGCUUUGCGUCCUGGGACGAGAUGAAUGUCCUGGCGCACGGACUCCUGCAGCUCGGCCAGGGGCUGCGCGAACACGCGGAGCGCACCCGCAGUCAGCUGAGCGCGCUGGAGCGGCGCCUGAGCGCGUGCGGGUCCGCCUGUCAGGGAACCGAGGGGUCCACCGACCUCCCGUUAGCCCCUGAGAGCCGGGUGGACCCUGAGGUCCUUCACAGCCUGCAGACACAACUCAAGGCUCAGAACAGCAGGAUCCAGCAACUCUUCCACAAGGUGGCCCAGCAGCAGCGGCACCUGGAGAAGCAGCACCUGCGAAUUCAGCAUCUGCAAAGCCAGUUUGGCCUCCUGGACCACAAGCACCUAGACCAUGAGGUGGCCAAGCCUGCCCGAAGAAAGAGGCUGCCCGAGAUGGCCCAGCCAGUUGACCCGGCUCACAAUGUCAGCCGCCUGCACCGGCUGCCCAGGGAUUGCCAGGAGCUGUUCCAGGUUGGGGAGAGGCAGAGUGGACUAUUUGAAAUCCAGCCUCAGGGGUCUCCGCCAUUUUUGGUGAACUGCAAGAUGACCUCAGAUGGAGGCUGGACAGUAAUUCAGAGGCGCCACGAUGGCUCAGUGGACUUCAAUCGGCCCUGGGAAGCCUACAAGGCGGGGUUUGGGGAUCCCCACGGUAGGUGUUUCUUGUGGGGACAGAGGCAGGGGAGGAAGAGGGACCCUCAGAAGUGGCCCUGCCUCACGGAGUGGCCUCUCCCACUCCAGGCGAGUUCUGGCUGGGUCUGGA